RNAcentral lists this ribosomal RNA (373 nucleotides) under uncultured organism. RNAcentral's name for it is "partial 16S ribosomal RNA". It matches the Rfam family "Bacterial small subunit ribosomal RNA", at positions 527 to 896 of the family's 1533-position model. The record is from RNAcentral.
GUAGGUGGCAAGCGUUGUCCGGAAUUAUUGGGCGUAAAGCGCGCGCAGGCGGUUCUUUAAGUCUGAUGUGAAAGCCCACGGGCUCAACCGUGGAGGGUCAUUGGAAACUGGAGAACUUGAGUACAGAAGAGGAAAGCGGAAUUCCACGUGUAGCGGUGAAAUGCGUAGAGAUGUGGAGGAACACCAGUGGCGAAGGCGGCUUUCUGGCCUGUAACUGACGCUGAGGCGCGAAAGCGUGGGGAGCAAACAGGAUUAGAUACCCUGGUAGUCCACGCCGUAAACGAUGAGUGCUAAGUGUUAGGGGGUUUCCGCCCCUUAGUGCUGCAGCUAACGCAUUAAGCACUCCGCCUGGGGAGUACGGCCGCAAAGGCUG